This is a long non-coding RNA of Brachypodium distachyon (stiff brome), 1516 nucleotides long. RefSeq lists it as uncharacterized. NCBI's taxonomy places the organism in Eukaryota, Viridiplantae, Streptophyta, Magnoliopsida, Poales, Poaceae. The transcript has 2 exons. The record is from RefSeq and is a predicted model, not a curated record.
UCACAGUGGACUUACUUGUUCACAUCCUCAAGCAUCUGCAUUGGUCGAGCCACCCGAACUUCGGCUUGGUAUGCCGACAAUGGCAAUCUGCACGCUCCUGGUCGCCCUUCUACCUGGCGUGGCUCACCCCUCUCCUCCACAACGCCACCGACGUAGGAACCACCAACUUCCGCUACUACAAUCCUUAUUAUCAGAAACACUUUGAGACUGCCAACACGCUCGACAUGCCCGGUGCCGGCGCCAAAAUCUUCUGCUUCACCGGGAACCGUUUGACGCUAUGCCUGAAACACUCAAUCCUCCAGGCGGAACUCCUCAACGGCGAAGACGUCUGCGAGCAGCUGCCGCCGAUUUAUAAACUCUAUAAAGUUAAAACCCACUAAGUGUAGUUAAUUUUAGGCAAGCUGUCCACCUCAGCGUGCCAUCUUCUAGUUUCCCACGUCAGCUGGGCGGUUCCAAUUUCCGCUAAAUCUGUCGAGAAGUGCCCCCGCCGCCGCUGCGCGCUGCAACGCCGCGGCCGAGCUCCGUCCCCGCCCACGGGCUUCGCCCCGACCGCCGCGCGAUGAGCUGGUAUCCCUGCCGCCCACGGGCUCAGCCCUGGCCGCCGCCGAGCGCCGUCCCCGCCGCCCACGGGCUCAUCUCCUGCAACCACGAAGGUACAUAAUCCACAUGUGCUUCACUGCAUUAUCUUCGCAUUCUUCAGGGCGAUUCGGCUGCCACAGGGGAGGUUGAGGAGGGGAGACGGCGCCACCGCGGGGAAGAUGAAUGAGAAUGAGGGAAGGGGCACCGCUGAUGGGAAAAAUGGAUGACAUGGGAGGGCGCGGCUGCAGGGGAGAUUGAGAAGGGGAUGGGCGCGGCCAAUGGGGAAAAAUGGAGGAGGGGAGGGGCGCCACCGAUGUGGGAGACGAGUUUGGGGCGCUGCCGCACGGGGAGCUCGGGGUGGCGCAGUUGUGGAUGCCUCGGCACGGGUAUCCGCCGCCGCCACAUUGGGAGGGGACGAAGGCCGUCGCAUGGGAAAAAGGAGGGCAGGCGCACGACCGUGUUUGAGGCUUGGAGCGGAGCAGCAGGCGACCGAGGAGAACGCGAGGAAGAAGAGUAGCAGGCGCGCAGACCAGGGACGCAAGAAAGAGGGACAGCAGCCGCGGAGGCAGCAUGCGCCUGGUUGGUGGAGAGAUCAGAGGAGUACCCAGCCGAAAAGGAUGAUGUUGGGUGUCGACACGGCGUUCGGCAUGCUCAACGUAGCCCGUUGCACCCGAAACAACAGCACCGGCAUAUGGGACGACCACUCGGACUUCACGUGGCAUGAUCCUGACCGUCCGCGGUUUCCCGCGUCUUCGGACUGUAACCCAGUCCUCCACAAAGGGUUUCUAUACCUGCUAGGAGAAGACGGAGGGUUAGCCGUGUAUGACGAGCAUAGGCAUGACGAAGGAUUUCAAAUUCUUGACAAGCCUCAGGGUUUUUGCUUCAAAUGUAAAGAGAGACAUUUCAAAAUAUACAAAGAGAGCUACUUGUUUGAGUC